This 281-nucleotide ribosomal RNA is filed under the name uncultured bacterium. RNAcentral describes it as "partial 16S ribosomal RNA". It matches the Rfam family "Bacterial small subunit ribosomal RNA", at positions 1107 to 1389 of the family's 1533-position model. The record is from RNAcentral.
GCCCUUAGUUGCCAUCNUUCNGUUGGGCACUNNNGGGGGACUGNCNGCUUCAAGCCGGAGGAAGGCGAGGACGACGUCUAGUCAUCAUGGNCCUUAUGNCCAGGGCUACACACGUGCUACAAUGGGCGGUACAAAGGGUCGCGAACCCGCGAGGGNAAGCCAAUCCCCAAAAGCCGGCCUCAGUUCGGAUUGGAGUCUGCAACUCGACUCCAUGAAGGUGGAAUCGCUAGUAAUCGCGNAUCAGCAUGNCGCGGUGAAUACNUUCCCGGGGCUUGGACACA